RNAcentral lists this ribosomal RNA (525 nucleotides) under Enterobacteriaceae bacterium symbiont of Insignorthezia sp. RNAcentral describes it as "bacterial SSU rRNA". It matches the Rfam family "Bacterial small subunit ribosomal RNA", at positions 485 to 1009 of the family's 1533-position model. Lineage: Bacteria; Pseudomonadati; Pseudomonadota; Gammaproteobacteria; Enterobacterales; Enterobacteriaceae. The record is from RNAcentral.
AAGAAGCACCGGCUAACUCCGUGCCAGCAGCCGCGGUAAUACGGAGGGUGCGAGCGUUAAUCGGAAUUACUGGGCGUAAAGCGUACGCAGGUGGUCUGUUAAGUCAGAUGUGAAAUCCCCCGGCUCAACCUGGGAACUGCAUUUGAAACUGGCAGGCUAGAGUCUCGUAGAGGGGGGUGGAAUUCCAGGUGUAGCGGUGAAAUGCGUAGAGAUCUGGAGGAAUACCGGUGGCGAAGGCGGCCCCCUGGACGAAGACUGACGCUCAGGUACGAAAGCGUGGGGAGCAAACAGGAUUAGAUACCCUGGUAGUCCACGCUGUAAACGAUGUCGAUUUGAAGGUUGUGGCCUUGAGCCGUGGCUUUCGGAGCUAACGUGUUAAAUCGACCGCCUGGGGAGUACGGCCGCAAGGUUAAAACUCAAAUGAAUUGACGGGGGCCCGCACAAGCGGUGGAGCAUGUGGUUUAAUUCGAUGCAACGCGAAGAACCUUACCUACUCUUGACAUCCAGAGAACUUGGCAGAGAUGC